ACUGAAGCUAUUGAGAGAGAAGAAGAACAAGUUUGAAGAGGUUCCACUGUUUUGGCUUUGGUCCUUCCUCCCUGCUGGAGCCUUCAUCUCUGUCAUUCCCUACUCAGUCUUCUCUGCCAUUAGUCACAGAUUUUGCAGUUUAUUGCUUAGUUUUAAGGCUAUCUCUGCUAAGAAUACUGAAAAUAGGUUAAAACAAACAUGUCCUCACCGAAUGGGAUCCACAAAUUUUGGAAUAGUGCGUAAGUAGCUGCGUGACUCUAAGGAGAACAGUGAAGAACCAUCAAGGGCUGAAGUUUUCAUAGCAACUCGCACAAGUAAAAAAGGAAAAGAAAUUGAUGCUAAAACACAAGCCACAAUUACUGAACUUCAGAACCGCUUAGAAGCAGGAGAAAAUGAAGAUGAUGCAUUUGUAGGAGUGUUAGGAAAGGACCAACCAGGUCGACUUCGUUGUUAUGGGGCUUCGAUUACAAGAAGCUCUCUUAAAAAAGAUGAGGAGAUUCGCCACAUAAAAGUUGAAUAUAACACUAAGGUCUCAUCAUUAGAGAAGAAGAUGGAUGGUGUAUAUGGUUUAUUAAAGGUAUUGGUGCACCAACUCAACCCUGGAAUGAGCAAUGAAGAGGUAACAGCCUUAGUUCAAGCUGCCCAAGAUUCUCCUGUGGAUACCUCAAGUAGCAAAGCAAAAAAUACUCCUCGCUCCUCCGAAGCAACUCACAUUCCACACAAAGAUGAUGAUUCAAGAGCCUAUGAAUAUACUUCCAUGAAGAACCUGAAUGAGUCCGAGAAUGGAUUUUGGGGUGCUCUGGCCAGGAAAGCCAAA
Molecule: non-coding RNA, 817 nt
Organism: Arachis ipaensis
Lineage: Eukaryota; Viridiplantae; Streptophyta; Magnoliopsida; Fabales; Fabaceae
Source: RefSeq, a predicted model, not a curated record